UGCAGCUAUAUUUGUCUAUUAUUUUUUGUUAUUUAUGAAAUUAUAUUUAUGCAGAUUUGUUUCCGAUCUAAAUUUAAAGAAUGAAUUCCCUUUAUUUAAAAAGUUUUCUAACUAUCCAAACAAUAAAUUAAUACUUUGCUUUUCUAAAAGAAAUGUCUCAAGAUGACAGCGGUCGUACCAGACUGCACACCACUGAAUCUCCCCGAAGUCACAAUGAACCAGAGCGAAAAAACCCACCACAAGAUCAGACAACACUUCAGAUUCCUAUCAUUAUGUUAAGUCUGUUGACUGUUGUGCUGUUUGCUGCAGUAAUAGGUUUAUUAAUGAUGAACCAUAAACUGUCUAAGAAAAUUCCUAAAUAUGUCAAUGCUCAUCAG
Sinocyclocheilus anshuiensis is the source of this 377-nucleotide long non-coding RNA. RefSeq lists it as uncharacterized. The transcript has 3 exons. NCBI's taxonomy places the organism in Eukaryota, Metazoa, Chordata, Actinopteri, Cypriniformes, Cyprinidae. The record is from RefSeq and is a predicted model, not a curated record.